UUCUGAUUGAAAAUGUGUGAUGUGUCUAUUGCUCAGCUGUUAUCCAAAUUUCAAGACAGAGUAUUUUAUCCGCGCAAAAUUCGUUACCUUGAAAAAUGUGUGACAGCUUUCGAUUCUCGUAAUAAUGGAUCUUUUUAAUUCUUUGUAUAUAUUCAUAGCCAUUCUCUGGUUAAUAUCACUAUUUUGUUUUCUCUGCCGCUACUCCAGCAAAGACUCAGAAAUUCCGAUUCACAUCGAAGAUGCAGAGAGGACAUCCGUUGUUUCCAAUCAUACACCCCUCACACACGUAGAUUCUAGAGAUUUUCAUACAAUAAGAACCGAAGAACAAGAACGUCCAAUAGGAUUUGCUCCUGAAGUAAUCAGCGGAACAUCUCAAAGUGAAGUUCCAUUGGCGCCAGUUCCAUCGUGUCCGGUGGAAGAAUUCCCGUCAGAACAUAAUACUAACUGUGAAGUACCAUCUUCAGAUCACCCAUCCAGUUGUGACAUUAAUCCGCCUUCUUAUGAACAAGUAAUGAACAAUGAAAGAUUCUACCAUAAACCAUGAAAGGCUUGAGACGUCAAUUGGCCUUAAACAUUAUAUAAGAUCAAAGCAAUCAAAGGGACCACAGCCUUCUCUUUGAGCUCCAACAUGACGCAACAUAACAUAAAAUCAGGAUCCGUUUUCUUAAAAUUGGACGUAGCAUCUGUGAUAACUCCCUUUUUUUAAGUACAAACAGGAAACCAUCUGCAUAAUAAAGAUGUCAUCCCGACUAGUAAAUAAGUAGAAAAAAUCUAAUUAUUAUCUAACUAUCAGAUACCGUAGGAAUCCAGCGAGACAAACUGAAAAUAAUUUAAGCUUCCCAUCAUUAGAGCCCAAUCGACGCUGAUGACCCGAUCUACCACUCACGGUUCACACGCGGUAGUCUUAUUUAUUCACCCUCCGAUUAAAAUACAAGAUUUUUUCGCAUAUUUCUAAAGUAUACUGGACAACUUAAAGUAAUUUAGCUCUACAAAACAAUUGUGGAACUAAAUAAAAUAAUUGUAAGGCUCUGCUUCCUUUAGAAAUAGCCCUUAACUCUCCCUAUGAAAAAACUCCGAAUUAUGAUCUAACUUUUGCCACUUAGUGCUUAUUAUACUUUUUUAAUUAUUAUCUUUCUUGGUAUUGUAAUAUUAUAUAAAUAGCAUUUAAAUGAACAAGAAGUUUGACGGUUUCACAGUUUUACAUAAUUAUUGUAAAAUAUCUCACGAAAAAUUGCAGGGAUUUUUAAAGUAACGAAGAGUAAAAAGCAUAAAGGCAACAGAAGCAAAUAAGUAUAAGGGAAGACUUUCAGGCUUCGCACACACUCUGGCUUCGAACACUUAAUACUUUUCCCAUAUUCCUCUAAUGAAUCUGACCAAUCUAUGGUAAUAUAUUUUGAUAGCUAAUCUUAAGUCAUUAAGAUUAAGGGCACUCAAUGGGUUAAGUAGUAGAGCACUCGCUCUAUGAUGCAAGUGUCCCGGGUUCAAAUCGCCUUUAGGUCACCAGGAAUUUUUCUGGCGUUAAAGGUAUUCGGAUUGCAUCCAGUGAGCUUCACUGCACUUGAUUCCACGGUCAUGGGACUUACAACCUCAUCCCGUACAAGAAAAAAAUAAUAAUGUAUGUCUAGAUAUUCCCUUGCGGAAAAGCCUUGUUCCUUUAUGCAGGGGCCCAUCGAGCCUAAUAAAAAGUGAAGAUAUUUUUCACUUUUCCUUUUAAAAAUUUUGCAGAUAUUGCACCGCGACUUAAACAAAUUUCCUCGUAGUUCUUAUAUUAUUUCGGCGAGCAUUAUGAAAUAUGUAUUUUUAGAUAGCUUUGAUAGCUUUUAGAAAAAGACUUGCCAAUACUCUUCAGUGCCUCUAUGCAAAACGUAUGGAAAAAUGAAAUGUCGAGAGGCCCCUGCUUCAUGGAAUGUUGUACUAGCAUUAUUAUUAUUAUUAAUCUUAAAUCAUGCAUAUAUUAAAAAAAAUUAUAGGUCAGAUUGGUCAGAUUCAUUAACAAAAAGUGUGAAAAAUAUGAAGUGUUUGAAACCAGAGUGUGUGCGAAACCUGAAAGCCUUCCCCUACCCAAACUAGCCACAAUGGCUGGGAAUUGGCAACUGAGUUGCAAAAAAAACACUAUAAUUAGCCUCAAGCCCCUAAUAGACUCAAGCUGAUCUUCGAGAAUAUUUAGCCUUUAAAAUUUGGCAGUAAAAAUUUAUCCUAAAUUGUCGUAUACUGAGAGUUUAGGAUCAUCGAUUAGAGAUCCUUUGCAUUAAUUUCCUUUAAUUCUUGUUUGCCAAAUUUUACAGAAUAAAUAUUCUCAAGGAUCGGGCCUCAGUGGAUCAUUGGAUAGAGUAAUGGCUCUAUGUGUGUGAAGUCUCGGGUUCGACACUAGGCGCUGCAUAGAUUUUUCAGCUGUUGUAUUAGUCUCGAAUUAGUUCAGUGAAUGAAUGGAAAAGUAACCGCCUAAAAAAGAGAGGUUGAUAUAGGAAAUAAGUUUCGAUAUGCAGAGUUCAGUCGAACACAAAUACACAUUCACUGCCCAGAUCCACAAACCGAGGCUGGUCUACCGUAAUAUAAAACGGUACUGUGUGUAUCAGAACGCACACAGAGCUUUGUGAUACACGGUAAAAACUUUUGGACACUGACUAAAAUAUUGGAACAAGUUUUCCAUUUGGCGUUCUCCUCGCUUCGGUGACGGGUGACGGAGUGUGAAAGGAGGGCUACGAUAUUAAACUAGACAAGCUAUUUUUUGGAACAAAUUCGUUACUUUUAUUGGGUAUCUUUUUGUUCCUCCUAGAAGGUACAAAUUUGUUCCAAAAAUUUUCGGUGUCCGUGGACUAGCUACAUUUUGGAACAAAUUCGUUACUAAUAUUCGGUAUCUUUUUGAGUCUCAUAAAAUGAACAAGAUUGUGUCAAAAAUUAUGGUGUCCGUGCCCGUGGACGAGCUAAUUUUUGGAACAAAUACGUGCCGAAAUUUUUUACCCUGUAUAGAGCAAGUUUACCCGCCUUGGGGGUUAAGAUAGAACAGGAGAAUGAGGAGUGCAUAAUGGGCCCAAAUAAGUGGCCUGGGUGCAGCGGUUCGGAAAGGAAUAUAAACCGACCCAUAGACAAAUCUUAAUCUUAAUCUUCUCGAGGAUCUGCCUGAGUCUAUUUGUGCCCUUAUACAAACCAUCAACAUGUACCUGAAUCUUAAUGUAACGCCUUUAAACUUUUCCUUAUGCCGCAAAUGGACUUGACUCAUAAUAAUCUCAAUCUCAGGUUAAUUUUAUUGCUUGAACUCAAAGAGAGAGCAAUAAAUACAUAUAUUUAGAACUUAUAUAUGUAAGCUAAUUCACAAAGUUUAAAACAAUCUGUAAAUAUGUAAAAUCUUUAAGAUUGUUCUUAUGUUGCAGAAGUUCUGUUAAAGGUAAUGUUAAUAUGUGCUUUGUUAUUUAUAGCUUUUAAGACCUUAAUUUCAUGGAAAAAUUUGCAUAAAAAUAAUUAAUAAUUUAGCAAUAAAAAUAAAUGAAACUGUCCGUCAAUUCUAAGAUAGAUCUUAAAAUUGAUAAAUGCUGAUUCCUCCUAUCUAUUGACAUGGAAAUUUAUAUUUUUUGUUUGAUUUACUGGAGUAAAAGAGCAACAAAACUUUUCAAUUUAUUAAAAUUCAUACGUUAAACAUCAUGAGUUGGUCACGAGAUCUUAUAAAAAAUAUUAAAUGUGCCGAAAAUUUUAAGAUGAGCUUGUAAUAUAAUAAUGUAAUAUCAUUAUACAGCCUUUAACUCAGAAUAUUAAAUCAUUCAUUUUGAUAGUUAGCAUUAAAUUUAAAUGUUUCAUGCUUCCUGUUAACAUGUUUUAUAUUAUAUUUUCAAAAUUCAAUAUUGUUACCAAAUGUGCCGAAUGCCGCAUGAAUAUUAAAUAAAGAUACUACUUUAAUAGCAAUUUCUUUAAUACUAUGCCCUAUAGGAGUAUGGUAAGGCAUAUCUUAUACUGCAAAUUCUAAAAAUCAAUCUGUUGUACCGUAUUUCCCACAUUUCAAGACAGUGUCAUCCGCGCAAAAUCCGUUCCUUUGGAAAAUAUGUGCUCACAUUUCAUUCUAAUUUGCAAUAUUUUUCGUCACACCAAUGGACUAUCUUGAUACUGUGAUUUUCUGCCUAGCCACUUUCUGUUCAAUUUUCAUUUUUUACGCACUCUGCUGCAGCUCUAACGAAGAAGAUACAGAAGUUCCCAUUCAUAGGCGUAAGUCUCCCUCUUAUUUUUUUUUCUUUUUUUUUCCUAGAUGCUCAGAAUAUUUUAAGAGCCUAUUUAUUCUGCAGCUGAUAUUGUAGUAACAUCCUCUAGUUAUACACCCCUCAGAGAGGCACAUCAUAGGAAUUUUCAAACUAUAGGAUCCGGAGAACAAGAAUGUCCAAUAGGAUUUACUCCUGAAGUAAUUAGCGGAACAUCUCAAAACGUAGUCUCAUUGGCGCCAAUUUCAUCAUGUCGGGUGGAGAAUUUCCCGUCAGAACAUACUACUAACAGAGAUGUACCUUCUUUAGAUAAUCCAUCCAUAAAUGACAAUCCGCCUUCUUAUGAACAAGUAAUGAACAAUGAAGCUUCUUACCAUAAACCAUGAAUGUCUAAAUACUGCUAUUGACCUAAUAUAAACUCAAAAACCAUCCCUUUCAGUUCUAACAUAAUGCAUAUACUAUAUAUAUUUUGAAAUUAAGAUCUCUUCCCUUCUCUUGAAUAUGAACGGACCAUAUGUAUAAUAACUUUUUUUUAAUUAACUACAAUGCAAAUAAGUAAAAUUUAAAAGUGCAAAACGAAUGUAUUACCUCAAUGAAAAAAUUAAAAAUACUCUUAAUACUUAGAAUCAAGCAAGAUUUUAGAAUUUAAGUAAAAAUCGAUUUUUAAUCUAACUUUGGUACUUUAGUGAUUAUAUACAUAUAUUAUUUGAAUUUUCUUCAUUAAUAUGAGACCAUGGAAGUAGUAAGUAUUUGAUUGACAAAUAAAAUUUUGGAAUUAGUUAUAAAUAAAAAUCCAACUUGUAACGGAAUUUUGUUUAAGAUAGUACACAUCUGUCGCAUAUACAUAAACCCCAAAACUAAACGAUAUGGCAUGGAAUUGGCUACUUAACAGCAUAAAAUGCCUUAGGUUUUAGUCUAAAUCGGACUAUCGAUUAGAAAUUAUACUCUGAGCUCAUUAAGAAUUUAUGAAAAGACGAAGUUGUUGCUCACAUGAAUUAUAGCCUUAAUGUGAAAAUAUUUUAAGUCAAUGUUUGACUAAUACGUUUUUAAUAAAAUAUUAUUGAGGUUUCACUUGAAAGAAUCUCGACUUAAUAUACUGCUCCAAUUGCAAAAAUGAUAAGUUACAUACACAGUAAAAAAAGAUUACUACAAGGAUAAUCGUUGGUUUGCUUUUUUACCACAAUUAUUCUUGUAUAGUUACUCAAAUAUAUAUUUCAGCAAAACGCGUAAUCUGAAAAUGUGGAAUUUAAGUUUUAUGUAAUGGUAAACUGUGUAACAAACUGCAAAUGAUUACACUGUUGUGUACAUUUUCUUACAUAUUUCGUGUAAUCUUACACAGUUUUUAAACAAAAUGUGUACAAAUUACAGAAAUGUGUAUCAGUACACACGAUUACAUGUUUAUGUAAAAUUUACAAUGAUAAUCAUGGCAAAGUAGCUGAAAGUUUUUUACUGUGUAUAGUUUAUAUAGUAUGCUUAUUUUUUUUUACUAAUAGUAAUAAAAUAAUUGUGUAUUUCUUGUUGCCACUAUGUAUUGUUGUUACCAAAAUGUGCCGAAGAAAUAUUAAAUGAAGACAUAAUUCUGA
This is a long non-coding RNA of Phlebotomus papatasi, 5767 nucleotides long. RefSeq lists it as uncharacterized. The transcript has 2 exons. The record is from RefSeq and is a predicted model, not a curated record. Lineage: Eukaryota; Metazoa; Arthropoda; Insecta; Diptera; Psychodidae.